ACAACACACAGCACAGUUUUCAUGUUUGUUAUGUGUUUUCUCUUCCUUAUAGAUCUGUUAGAGCCACGUCAAGGACUGCUGUGUCCAGGAGUGGAGAAAGGCUUAUGUGAGACAAGAGACUCUACUGUCAGAAGAAAGCAAGUGAUUUCAUCCUAGGUAACAGCUGACUCCUAUCUUCAGUUUUGUGUUCCUCGAAGAAUUCACUAGGAAAAUUCACGUGGAGCAACUCCAGCUAAAGAAGCAUGAAGACUAGUCUACUGGGGAAAGAAGAAAUGGGUUUCCAUGGACCUAUCAAUGAUACUCAUCACAGAAUUUCCCCAGCCAGAAGAAAGCACUGCUUUAAUCCAUCAUGCAGAGAGGAUCUGACGUCUGUAAUGUCGCUGUUACCAAAAAUAUCUGAUUCUGCAAUUUGGUGUGCAUCAGCUUUUGGAGUGAGCCUCUCAAAUCUCUACAGACCAAUGGAGACCAAGCAAGAUGCUCUCUAGCUGAACUAAGAAGAAAGGCAGCAAGUUUGGCCCAAAAGGUAGGAGAAGAUCUCAAUGCUCAGUGUGGGUCUGGUCACAGAGGAAAGUUACCACAAUGACACAAGACUAGAAGUCAUUCUGUCAUAACGAGUGAGUGAUAAGCAAUUAGUGUCUACCUGCUUUGAUAUGUAAAACACCGUUGCCAUCAAAGUCCAGGGGAAAAAGAAUCAUGGUUUUAUAAAUACAGCUUUAAACACCAUAUUUACAGAUGUAUUUGAAACUUCUGACUGCUUUGAGUAAGUGGUCUCCUUGAAAAUG
This 782-nucleotide long non-coding RNA is filed under the name Mus spicilegus (steppe mouse). RNAcentral's name for it is "lncRNA (ENSMSIG00000013193.1)". Lineage: Eukaryota; Metazoa; Chordata; Mammalia; Rodentia; Muridae. The record is from RNAcentral.